RNAcentral lists this ribosomal RNA (253 nucleotides) under uncultured bacterium. RNAcentral's name for it is "partial 16S ribosomal RNA". It matches the Rfam family "Bacterial small subunit ribosomal RNA", at positions 524 to 776 of the family's 1533-position model. The record is from RNAcentral.
GACGGAAGGUGCAAGCGUUGCUCGGAAUCACUGGGCGUAAAGGGUGCGUAGGCGGCUUGGUGGGUCUGGUGUGAAAGCCCCGGGCUCAGCCCGGGAAGGGCACUAGAAACUGCCGAGCUGGAGUGCCGGAGGGGAGAGUGGAAUUCCUGGUGUAGCGGUGAAAUGCGUAGAUAUCAGGAGGAACACCGGUGGCGAAGGCGGGUCUCUGGGCCGAUACUGACGCUGAGGAGCGAAAGCGUGGGGAGCGAACAGG